GGAAGGACUGGUGGAGCGCUUAGAAGUGAGAAUGCCGGUAUGAGUAGCGAAAGACGGGUGAGAAUCCCGUCCACCGAAUGCCUAAGGUUUCCUGAGGAAGGCUCGUCCGCUCAGGGUUAGUCAGGACCUAAGCCGAGGCCGACAGGCGUAGGCGAUGGACAACAGGUUGAUAUUCCUGUACCACCUCUUUAUCGUUUGAGCAAUGGAGGGACGCAGAAGGAUAGAAGAAGCGUGCGAUUGGUUGUGCACGUCCAAGCAGUUAGGCUGAUAAGUAGGCAAAUCCGCUUAUCGUGAAGGCUGAGCUGUGAUGGGGAAGCUCCUUAUGGAGCGAAGUCUUUGAUUCCCCGCUGCCAAGAAAAGCUUCUAGCGAGAUAAAAGGUGCCUGUACCGCAAACCGACACAGGUAGGCGAGGAGAGAAUCCUAAGGUGUGCGAGAGAACUCUGGUUAAGGAACUCGGCAAAAUGACCCCGUAACUUCGGGAGAAGGGGUGCUUUCUUAACGGAAAGCCGCAGUGAAUAGGCCCAAGCGACUGUUUAGCAAAAACACAGGUCUCUGCGAAGCCGUAAGGCGAAGUAUAGGGGCUGACACCUGCCCGGUGCUGGAAGGUUAAGGAGAGGGGUUAGCGUAAGCGAAGCUCUGAACUGAAGCCCCAGUAAACGGCGGCCGUAACUAUAACGGUCCUAAGGUAGCGAAAUUCCUUGUCGGGUAAGUUCCGACCCGCACGAAAGGUGUAACGAUUUGGGCACUGUCUCAACCAGAGACUCGGUGAAAUUAUAGUACCUGUGAAGAUGCAGGUUACCCGCGACAGGACGGAAAGACCCCGUGGAGCUUUACUGUAGCCUGAUAUUGAAUUUUGGUACAGUUUGUACAGGAUAGGCGGGAGCCAUUGAAACCGGAGCGCUAGCUUCGGUGGAGGCGCUGGUGGGAUACCGCCCUGACUGUAUUGAAAUUCUAACCUACGGGUCUUAUCGACCCGGGAGACAGUGUCAGGUGGGCAGUUUGACUGGGGCGGUCGCCUCCUAAAGUGUAACGGAGGCGCCCAAAGGUUCCCUCAGAAUGGUUGGAAAUCAUUCGUAGAGUGCAAAGGCAUAAGGGAGCUUGACUGCGAGACCUACAAGUCGAGCAGGGACGAAAGUCGGGCUUAGUGAUCCGGUGGUUCCGCAUGGAAGGGCCAUCGCUCAACGGAUAAAAGCUACCCCGGGGAUAACAGGCUUAUCUCCCCAAGAGUCCACAUCGACGGGGAGGUUUGGCACCUCGAUGUCGGCUCAUCGCAUCCUGGGGCUGUAGUCGGUCCCAAGGGUUGGGCUGUUCGCCCAUUAAAGCGGUACGCGAGCUGGGUUCAGAACGUCGUGAGACAGUUCGGUCCCUAUCCGUCGUGGGCGUAGGAAAUUUGAGAGGAGCUGUCCUUAGUACGAGAGGACCGGGAUGGACGCACCGCUGGUGUACCAGUUGUUCUGCCAAGGGCAUAGCUGGGUAGCUAUGUGCGGAAGGGAUAAGUGCUGAAAGCAUCUAAGCAUGAAGCCCCCCUCAAGAUGAGAUUUCCCAUAGCGUAAGCUAGUAAGAUCCCUGAAAGAUGAUCAGGUUGAUAGGUUCGAGGUGGAAGCAUGGUGACAUGUGGAGCUGACGAAUACUAAUAGAUCGAGGACUUAACCAUAUAA
This 1659-nucleotide ribosomal RNA is filed under the name Bacillus velezensis. RNAcentral's name for it is "bacterial LSU rRNA". It matches the Rfam family "Bacterial large subunit ribosomal RNA", at positions 1263 to 2925 of the family's 2925-position model. Lineage: Bacteria; Bacillati; Bacillota; Bacilli; Caryophanales; Bacillaceae. The record is from RNAcentral.